Molecule: ribosomal RNA, 496 nt
Filed under: uncultured bacterium
Lineage: Bacteria
Description: partial 16S ribosomal RNA
Rfam family: Bacterial small subunit ribosomal RNA
Source: RNAcentral
GAUGAACGCUGGCGGCGUGCCUAAUACAUGCAAGUCGAGCGAACAGACGAGGAGCUUGCUCUACUGACGUUAGCGGCGGACGGGUGAGUAACACGUGGAUAACCUACCUAUAAGACUGGGAUAACGGCGGGAAACCGGAGCUCAUACCGGAAAAUAUAUUGAACCGCAUGGUUCAAUAGUGAAAUACGGUUUUGCUGUCACUUAUAGAUGGAUCCGCGCCGCAUGAGCUAGUUGGUAAGGUAACGGCUUACGAAGGCAACGAUGCGUAGCCGACCUGAGAGGGGUAGCGGCCCCGCGGGAGUUGAGACCCGGACCAGACUCGUACGGGAGGCAGCAGUAGGAAGGCUGCCGGAAGGGGCGAAAGCUUGACGAAGCGACGAAGCGUGAGUGAGGAAGGUCUCCGGACCGUAAAACGCCGUUAUUAGGUAAGAACAAAUGGGUAGGUAACAAUGCUCGUCUUGAGGUUACUAGAUCAGAAGGCCCCGCCUACUUAGGU